GCCACAUCCAGAUUAAUUUUUCUGACGACUCGCAAUUAUUUUUCACGCACUCAUUGGAGAUUUCAGUCCCAGUUUUUUUAAAUAUGGAUUCUGUAUUCUCCCUCCAAAAUUCUGCGAUCAACCUGUCUGACCUAGACGACCAGACACAAGCAUUAUGUGGGAUUUUAACGUACCAUUUUAUUUCACAUUACGAUGUGGCUCAUAGGAAUCUCCUAAAAUAUUUUCAUGCAUCAAGUGCGAUGGACUGCUUCGAGAUUUUACAUCAAAUCCGUCCGGACCUCUCCAUAUUAGGCGAACCUAGUAGGACAAAGCUUCUUUCUCGCCUGAAUGCAAAUUCAGAAGAAAUUUUUCGGAUCCUUCAAGUGGACCCCCUUCAAUUGCAGGACCCUAUUUAUGUUGAGGUCGAGUGCAAGAGGUGCACGAAAUAUGGGAAGAAGAAAACACCUCGGUUCCUUCGUCGCCUUCUCAAGGUUUGGUCGUUCUUGUGGGAUUAAAAUUAUUACUUGCGUAAAAAAAUUACAUAUGAAUAUGUGCAUAUGCAGAUAAUAGUUUUAUACAACAUUUUAUUCACGUCAACGUUUUAUUCACACAUUGAACAUGUAUAUUGUUAAUUUAUGCCAUUAUAAAAUCGUUUCAUGAAGUUUUAUAUUUUGUAAAUUACAUUUUAAAUUCAGUUAGUCACACUGAAGAAUUUUCUUCUAAAAUGCUCCAAACUUAAUAAUAGAAUUUAGAGUUUAAAUUGGAUCUUUUGAUAUCGUCACAAACUUUUUAUUUGUAUUCAAUUUUACAGCUUUGUCUAAAUUAAAUACAUAGUGCUCAGGCAUCCUUGCCGUGAUUUUGUUUCCUUCGCCAAAAUUCUUCUAUUAAUUUACAGUUAUUCUGAAAGAAUUCUAAAUAUUAUAUAGUAUUUAUAGUGUAUGUAUUAAAUUCAGAAUAUUAAACAAAUAAAAUUGACACGACAAAAUGAUACUUAAAUAAAUGAGAAAAUUUUAUUGAUAAUAAUAAACUAUGUAUGUAUGUAACUAUUUAUCUAAGUUGUAAAUUAAUUAAGUAUUUUAAUUCUGUUAAACGCAGGCAUAAUUUCUGAAGCACGGCAAAGUAAUUCAUAUAGGCAAGCAACUUUCAAAAUUAUAAAAAAUAGCAGCGAUGUGAUUAUCAACGUGCAAGCUGGGAAAAUACGUAAAAAGUGUUUCCAUCUUGAGCUUGGAUAUCCGGGUGGUUAUCCUUGUACGUGCGAGAAAUAGUUAUUAUAUCUCUUCCCGAGUACUGUGGAGAAACCAAGGGUCUAGGCCCCUCCACAGAGGUCACACACAAGGGGUAGUGGUCAUAGUUUCCCAAUAGAUCACAUGACUAAUAUAAGGCCCCACACCUAAACGCACUAUUAAAAAAGAACCAAUAAAUCAUUACUCACCGCACUACCUAUCAGUAUGACUCUAUCCGCAGGACAAUAA
Molecule: long non-coding RNA, 1451 nt
Organism: Folsomia candida
Lineage: Eukaryota; Metazoa; Arthropoda; Collembola; Entomobryomorpha; Isotomidae
Exons: 2
Source: RefSeq, a predicted model, not a curated record